GCCUGCGUGGCACAAUUGGUCAGCGCGUGAGACUCUUAAUCUCAAGGUUACGGGUUCGAAUCCCGUCGUGGGUU
Molecule: non-coding RNA, 74 nt
Organism: Eremomyces bilateralis CBS 781.70
Lineage: Eukaryota; Fungi; Ascomycota; Dothideomycetes; Eremomycetales; Eremomycetaceae
Source: the annotation of a RefSeq genome assembly